Molecule: long non-coding RNA, 7035 nt
Organism: Pteropus alecto (black flying fox)
Lineage: Eukaryota; Metazoa; Chordata; Mammalia; Chiroptera; Pteropodidae
Exons: 2
Source: RefSeq, a predicted model, not a curated record
GUGAGUAAAGGGCCGGAGCCACGAAGGUUAGAACCCGGCUGGCAGGAGACGGGGAGGCGCGAGUUGGGGGUUGGGGGGUCCGGGCAGGGGUGUCUCGGGAGUAGCCGCUCCCCUUUCCCGUCCCCGCCCCAGCGACAGGCAAGAGGGGCCUCCCUCCCGGGAUUUGUUUAUAUGUCUUCUCAAAGUAGCUUGAAGCGGCUCGGAGGCGGAGCUCUCAGCGCGGAGUGGCAGGCUGUGCCGUCCAAUGGGGCAGGCAGACCAGAGCAGCCUCGCCAAUGGGCGUGGAGGAGGCGGCGCCCCGGCCCCCCAAUUGGUUAGGCUGUGCCGGGGGUGGGCCGGGUGGCGCGGCCAUGUUAGAUGGGAGGGGACCGGUGGCUGUGGGUCCCUGAGAAAGGGGGAGACAGGGCAAAGGGCGAGGGAACCGGGCCGGGGGCGCUUCGGGUGUCCGAAGGCGAGUCCAGUCGUCCCGGAAAGUAGCUCAGAAAGCCUCGUCCCGACCUGCCGCUCUCUCCACCCGAGCAGAGGAGGCAGGGAAGUACCGAGGACAGUCCAGCCGCCCCUGGGGGUGGUUCCUGGGACUUGAUGGAGCUCAGUCUCUGGAUUCUCCCUCUUUCUCGGCCCUACGCUUCCUGACAAACCUGGCCGCCAAACUCUGUAAUUGCCUUCCUUUAAUCCAAGAAAGCAAACCUUUUGCUGUUUCUGAGCGGGCUUGAGCCUUAAGACAACCUUAAGAAGGUACUUGGAUAACUAGCGGUCUGAAUUUCUGCACCAGGCCUCAGAUAGAGGCAAGCAGGGAGUAGGAAGUUCUGCUUUUCUGGAUUUUGCACGGAGAAAACCAGGACUAGAAAAGCGGAGAAAGUUAAGGGCUCGGCGGGGUUUCCAUUUUUUCAUCAAGAUACAUUCUAAAGAUCACCCCCAGCCCGUGCUGCCCUAGGCAUAGUUUGCCCCUCCUCACAUUGAUUGAUAGCUCACAUAAAUGAACUUCAUGAGAAAACUGAGCCUUGAGAAAAUUAUUUAGGUUUGAAGGUUCUUUAGGACUUUGUCUUGCGAAAUACCCUGCAGGUGAGAAAUAGGAUCACGAUCUGACUUACUUUUUAUAAAGCGGAAAAUAAGGCUUUGUAAAUCUUAUGAUAUGAUAAACUGGUUGUCACUUACUUGAUUGUACUUUAAAUAUUUUUUUCCUGUUGUCUUUUAAUCCAAAAUAGGAGAAACACCAGAGAUGAGGGAGGAAAUGGUACGAGUAGUUACAGAAUCACUAAUUUUACUUUUACUUUAGUUGUUUUGUGGUUGUUUUGGCAUCAUGUCGGCCUUAUGAAAUGCUUGAUUUAGCUUUAUGUUAACAUCGGCUUGCAACCUGUGACUGCAUUGGUAUUGUCCAGGGUACCAGCUUGUUGAUGCACCUUUGGUUAAGCACUUAGGGGAAGGAACAUGCCUUAGAUAAAUCAUGCAAGGGGUGUUCAAGAGUUGAUUGUAUUUAUUUAGGUAUUUGCAUUAUCUCAUUUUGGUAACGAGAAAAAAAUAAUAAUUGUAAAUAAAUGACUUAUCGAUCUCUAUUUUGGCAUAAUUGACUCACAGUUUUGUUAAUAUUGACAUGUGAAUAUAUAUUCCCUGUUUAUUUGAUAGACUUCAGUUCUUAAAUGUAACUUUAAUAACAGAUAGAAAUAUUAGCUUGUUUUUUCGCUUAUUCUAAUAAUGGCAGAUAGAUCUAACAGGAUUUAUUUUGGCGUAAUUCUUUUUUAUGACUGAGAGCAGGCUUGGGGUUUUUAAGCUUGUAAGCAUAGAAGAGGCUAAAUACAUCGAGAAGAGAUUUUGGAUGUGCCACCUACCAUCCCAUUCUAUGUCUGUCAUGGCAGAUGAAAACAAACUUUUACGAAGACUAUGUUCUACUUAGUUUACUAGUUCAUUCACGUGGGUUCUUGGAUGCCAGUGUAAGGAGUAAAGGAAUAGCUAGUAUGAUUCCUAGUAGUGGUUAAGGUACAAGUGACAAUAAAAGUACAACGAACUUAUGUGUUGAUUCUAUUAACGCAGCAGUUUUUAAAACAUUAAGAGAGCUGUUUGUUAUUAAAGUUUAGUUUUUAGUCACGAUUGACAGUUACUAUGACUUCGGAUGAAUCAGCAGAGGUUUUUCCAUGUGGGUUUCUCCUUGGAUGUUUUUGUGAAGAAUUCUUCUUCACCGUAUUCAGUUCAUCUUCCAGAGUAGAUAAGCUCUUACUUAGGCUAGGCAUAGAUUUGUCAUAGCACUGGUUCCAAUGAUUCUAAGAUAGGGGUCAACAGACUUCUUCUGCACAGGGUCACGUCGUAAAUAUUUAGGCUUUGUAGUCCAUAUAGCCUCUGUCACAAUGACUCAACUCUGCAAACUGUAGCUUGAAAACAGCCAUAGACAAUAUGUUUGGGGAUAUAUUCCAAUAAAACUUUGUUUUUACAAGAACAGCCUGUGGUCGAAGGCUGUAGUUUGUCAGCCCCUCUUCCAGGACAUCAGUCACUGGGUUUUGAGUACGGAUGUUCAGAUAUUUCAGACUACAUAAACAUGUACUCGAACUAGUAUUUGAGCAAUUGCGUAUAAUGUACAUACCUCCUGCCGUGAAGAAUUUCUAGAAUUAGAAGAGCACAUGGCAACAUUGUAUUCUGUUUUUAUUUCAUUUGCAAAUAGAUGUUUUCCUGAAGAAAUAUAAAGCAAAUGUUGGAAUAUUAAGUUCUAUGAAGAAAUGCAUUCCGAUUGAAAAAGUUCGGCUUUAAGAUAUGAUACCUAAGAACCUUAAUAUACUCAAGGGUAGGGCCCUUUUGAGGUUUAAAAGUGCAUCUAGCGUAUCAUUCCUUACAAAACUGUGUAUAGCUGUUUCAAGAGAUGUUACACUAGUCAACACACUUAGCGUAUGUGUGUGUGUGUGUCAUACAGUUAAUUUGGAAGCUACAUUAAUUAUGCCAGUGCCUGAGAUGUUUGCAGAAUUACUUAAAUAGGGUAGGAUACUUUUUCAAACAAGACCCAAAAAGAUACAGGUCACGCCUCCCUCCUUCCUUGGAAAAUGUCAAGUGGUGCUAAGUGCCCACUGAAGCAGAGACGCCAUAACCUAAAUAUAUUACAAAGGCAAAUAAGAUUUUCAUGGGCAGCUUUCGUCUUUGUUUUAAUGUAAUAUUUCACUAGUUUUGUUGACAUGAGCCGGAUUUCAAGUGCAAGGCUGAAAGUUUAGAAAGGUGAACAUACCAACCUCUUAAAACUGUAUCACCUUGUUUCCAUUUCUAGUUAACUUACUGUUUGGCUGGGUGACUGCAGUUUAUUAAUUUCUAAUGGUAGCGAUUAAUGAUGUUUUAUAUUUCACAGAGGGAUAUUGGGAAAUUGUUAUUGUGUUCUCAAGCUCUUGCACUUUGAAUAUGCUAAUUCUUCAGGCUGCUUAUACUUCAUGCUGCUUGCACUUCAUGCACCUCUCAAAUCUGGAUUCUGUUUUCUCUUAGCUUUAUUUCGUUACAGUGCUAAUCUUUUUAGCAUGUGAUCCACACUACAGUAUUUCUCUACCCAUUUAACAGGUGAGUUCCUUAAGGUCAGAGUCAGCCUUUUAUUUCUUAUAUCCCCAGUGCCUCCCACUGUGGCUGACACUUUUUAGUGCUUCUGAACUGUUUAAAUAAAUGAUGUUAAAAACUGCUUAUCUUGAAGGUAAUAAAGUCAAUCUGCUAUUAGUAAAGAGGCUUGGCUUUUCUUAGUUGAAAGGGAGGAAUUAAUCACCAUCUGCUCAAAUAAAAAGCUUUCAUUUAAAAAUUGACCCUUUUAAGAAAGUUUAUAUGGAAGCUAUUUUAAUGACGCCUAAAAAUACCUUGAAUUAUUUUGCUAACUUUUUUCCAGAUAAAUUCCAUUAGUUAGACUUGUCGAAUACUCCCUUCAAGACACAGAAAAAACCUCGUCCUUUGGAUUUGUCUUUAGCUCUUUGCACACUUGGUCUCUGGGUGUUUGACAAAUGUGAGUGAAAUCUCUUUAUUUCUCUGAGGUUUGAGGUGAUUGUUCAGCUACACAUCAGGGUCCCUUUUGAGGGGAAGCACUGUAAAAUUCUCACCGAUGAUUCUGAUUCACCCUGUUGGAGAAGGCUGGACUUGGCGUUCCAUGCAGGGGACCUCAGUGGUGCUUUGUGACUGUAGUACUACCCCUCCCGUCGCCAGCCAAGCCUGGUGUGCCUUUCACCAGCUCAUGACCUUUCUUCCACAAUCUAUAUUGGAGUUUUCUUUCCCAAACAGCUUCCUAAGCCAGCGUCUCCCUGCUUAUUCCCAGCAACUCUAUCAUCCCAUCAUUCUGUCCCUGUAACACUAAAACCACUUUUACAUCUUUUGUUACAAAAUCAUGUUGUCACUCAUUUAUCUUUGGGUAUUGUUGACUUUGAUGGUUUCCUAUGAAAGCUUCAUAAGCUUGCCGACUUCUUGUCUCAUUCCACUUUUCUUCAGGUUCUUGUACACUUAUUUUAUUCAGUAAACUCCUCCGUCUUUGAGAGUUUAAGGUGCUCCUUUUAUUUUUAUAGAGGAAGUUUCUUCUUUGACUGCUGCCCACCAUUCCUGAUGCAAUUUGCCUUCUCUGUGUUGGCCAUUCACUGAGAAAUUUUAAAGCAUCACAGAUAUCAAGCUUCAAAAAAGAUCCUUGAUGGUAGCAGCAACGUCCCAGGAACAUCUUACACCAAGGAAGGAAGCCACCAUUUCUUGCGUUUCUGUUUUGUGUCAGGGCUGGAUACUCUACGUUAUCAUGAAUCACAGUAUCCCUGCAGAAUAAGAAGAAUUCCUGUAUUUACAAAUAAAAGAAGGCAAGCGAGAAUUUUGAAUGAAGUUCCAAACAUCCACUUAUAAAGGAAAACUUUUACUCUUGAAUCUACAGUUCGCGUCUCAUAGAGCAAGCCUUAUAGGAGCGUUAGAGUCCAACAGGCAGCCAGCCUUUCUCAGUGUUCAAAGAAAUGACUUCAGCACUAUAUUCAGAAUCUCGUCGUAGCCCUGUGCACAUAACCUUCGGACCAUCUGUUCUGUAGUCCUGUGCUGGUGGCAUAGCCCAUUUCACAGAUUCGGAAGGAAUUUGAAGGGAAUUUCAAAAUUGUCUCUAGUCUGUAUCAUGGUACGUUUGAAAAAUGCUAAAUCUGAGAAAGGACGGAGGAGAUGGUCCGUCCUAAGGAAGAGCCCAGACCCUUAACAACAGCACCACAGAAGUCAUUAGGGUCUGUCCCAGAGUGUCCCUUGGUGGGUGUUUCCCUGGAAUCCUGCUGUGUGGCUCCAGUGUGAUGGUGCCUGCACUGCUGUCUGUUUUUAUGCUGCUGCCUUUAAUCAUGCUGUUCCCUUUUUAAUUUUGUAGAUUUCUGCAGAACAUCUCAGAAAAGGAAAUGAUUGUUUAAAACUCCAAUCUUAACUUGAGAGACAGAGACAGAGAGAGAAAAUAGCGUAACAUGUAUCAGUCCAGUGCCUGGAUUCAUUGAAUGUUUUAAUCCUUACUCCUUCCUCUGCCCUCUCCUCCCUAGACAAGAAUUUUCUCAGAUUUUUCAAACUGACAAAUUCAAACAGCACUCUUCCUGGAUAUUUAAAAGAAAAUUGGGGAGUACAGUUUUAAAUAUUUUUACUGUAUGAUACUACAGUGGUUCACGAUACAUAUUAACAAGCUGCUACAAGAUACUUCGGAGCACAUAAAAGAUGCUCAAUAAACAUAUAUUAAAUGAUGACUUCUUUGUAAUGUCCUCUUUGUAUACGAAGAACAUCGCACCUCUGACUCCUUAUCCAGAGGACUUGUGGUCUCGGGAUUUCCCAUUCACUGUCAUUCAGCUUUUGUCUGGAUGCCUGUGCUGGCCAGGGCAUUGUUUUUGGCACUGUAAUGAAAUAAACAUGAAAUAUAAUGGUCAUUCUCAAAGGUUUUACAAUCUUUACAAUCUGGUAGCGAAGGCAAGGGGUUAGGGAGAGGAAAAAUGUAAGCAAGGGCCAGAAAGGCCAGGGUCUCACUGUCGGAGGUCCUUAGUGGAGUGAAGUGGGAUUGUAAGUGCCUGAAAGAUUUGGGGGGAAAUUUUACGAUCAGAUGAAUAUUAAUGUUAUAUUUAUAGAAGAGUAGUGGAAGAUGCAGUUGGAAAGACAGUUUCAUUGUGUCUGAGUAUCUUGAAUAUUAUCCGAGAGAUGUUUGGGGGUUACUGGAAAAUUAUAGGCGCAGUGCUAGUAUGACAUGGUGGUUUGGGGAGAAUAAUUUAUAAUGGGGCAUAGGAACUGGAGCGUGAGGGAGAGGCUGGAGGCAGGAAGAUCUGUAGGGUAAAUAUUGGAAUGGUAAAUAGAAAACGAUGAGGUCCAAGUGAGGGUUGAAAAAGUGGGAAGGGCCAAGUCAAACAGAACUUCCCUUCGCCGCAAGGGAAGUUGUCAGUAUAUUUUUAUUAAAGAGAAUUGGCAUGAUUUAACGAAGUGAAUGGGGAGGAGCGAGAAGAGUCAAGGCCGAGAUCAGCAUUCUGUCCCUGGAUGUCUGAGAGUUUUGGUACUCUUGGCAGAAUAGUAACGUUUGGAUGGGGAGAUGGCAUGUUACGUCUGAGGUCACAGGAUGUGAGUGAACAUGGAAGGGCACGUGCACACGCGUGUUUAGGAUGAAGGUGCCUGAGGCACGGGGAGUAAAGGUGGUCUCUGGGAUGAUAGGUUUGCACAGAGGCAUCCAUUUACCGAAUGACCUCAGACAGAUCUCUUAUCCUUGCUGAACUUUUUUUAUUAAUGCGAAACGGUUGGGCAGAGGGUAGGGGAUGGUAACGAUGCUAAUACUUACACUAACUCCUUCACCACGUUGUUUCUGAUAUGGCAGGGAUAGCAAUAUGCUUUGUAAACUCUAAACAACUACAUGAAUAUAAACUGAAUAUUUUGUUGCCAGUGGUAAUCAAGUGUGGCUGGGGUUAGAAAUGUGUUCUUUGCUUAUGUCUAAAACUGUCCAGUGCUCUUAUUCUUGUGCUCUGAACAACUUAAUCGACAGGUAUCAAGGCUGCAGAAAGCCCCUACUAUCGUGUAGUUGACAGUGUUCAGAAAUAAAAAGUAGCUCUUCUCGUUCAACUCACAUUGAUCCAGAAA